This 308-nucleotide ribosomal RNA is filed under the name uncultured eukaryote. RNAcentral's name for it is "SSU rRNA". It matches the Rfam family "Eukaryotic small subunit ribosomal RNA", at positions 258 to 565 of the family's 1831-position model. The record is from RNAcentral.
AACUCAGCUGAUCGCACGGUCUAGUGCCGGCGACAUAUCUUUCAAGUGUCUACCUUAUCAACUGUCGAUGGUAGUUUAUGUGACUACCAUGGUUGUAACGGGUAACGGAGAAUCAGGGUUUGACUCCGGAGAGGGAGCCUGAGAAACGGCUACCACUUCUAAGGAAGGCAGCAGGCGCGCAAAUUACACAAUCUCAGCACGAGGAUGUAGUGACGAAACAUACCGAGGCGAUGCCCUUUCGGGUGUCGUCAUUGGAAUGAGUCGAAUCUAAAAAAUUCGGCAAGGAUCUAGUGGAGGGCAAGUCUGGU